GACGAACGCUGGCGGCGUGCUUAACACAUGCAAGUCGAACGGAAAGGCCCUGCUUUUGUGGGGUGCUCGAGUGGCGAACGGGUGAGUAACACGUGAGUAACCUGCCCUUGACUUUGGGAUAACUUCAGGAAACUGCGGCUAAUACCGGAUAGGAGCUCCUGCUGCAUGGUGGGGGUUGGAAAGUUUCGGCGGUUGGGGAUGGACUCGCGGCUUAUCGGCUUGUUGGUGGGGUAGUGGCUUACCAAGGCUUUGACGGGUAGCCGGCAUGAGAGGGUGACCGGCCACAUGGGGACUGAGGGAGGGCCCAGAAGCGUACGGGAGGCAGCAGUGGGGAAUAUGGCACAAUGAGCGGGAGCGUGAGGCAGCAGCGCCGCGUGCGGGAUGACGGCCUACGGGUGAUAAACCGCUUUCGCCUGUGACGAAGCGUGAGUGACGGUAAUGGGUAAAGAAGCACCGGCUAACUACGUG
This 468-nucleotide ribosomal RNA is filed under the name uncultured bacterium. Its description in RNAcentral is "partial 16S ribosomal RNA". It matches the Rfam family "Bacterial small subunit ribosomal RNA", at positions 28 to 507 of the family's 1533-position model. The record is from RNAcentral.